RNAcentral lists this ribosomal RNA (412 nucleotides) under Latreillia valida. Its description in RNAcentral is "partial large subunit ribosomal RNA". The stretch from base 278 to 412 matches the Rfam family "Bacterial large subunit ribosomal RNA", at positions 2473 to 2608 of the family's 2925-position model. The record is from RNAcentral. Lineage: Eukaryota; Metazoa; Arthropoda; Malacostraca; Decapoda; Latreilliidae.
AUGGUUGAACAAAUAAAUGAUUGUCUCUUUUUUAAAAUUUGAAUUUAACUUUUAAGUGAGAAGGCUUAAAUAAUUCAAGGGGACGAUAAGACCCUAUAAAUCUUUAUAUAAAUAUUUAUUUUUAAUUGAUAAUUAGUGUUUAAUAAUUUUAAAUAAAUAAUAUAUUGUAUUGGGGUGAUAAAAGUAUAAAUAGUGUAACUGCUUAUAUUUAAAUACUUAUAAUGUUUGUUUAUUUUUAAUGAUCCUUUUUAAGAUUUUAAGAUUAAGUUACUUUAGGGAUAACAGCGUUAUUUUUUUUAAGAGUUCUUAUCGAAAAAAAAGUUUGCGACCUCGAUGUUGAAUUAAAAUUUCUUUAUAAUGUAGCCGUUAUAGAAGAAGGUCUGUUCGACCUUUAAUAUUUUACGUGAUCUGA